This 148-nucleotide non-coding RNA is filed under the name human gut metagenome. RNAcentral describes it as "glmS glucosamine-6-phosphate activated ribozyme". It matches the Rfam family "glmS glucosamine-6-phosphate activated ribozyme aptamer". Rfam says of the family: This entry contains a glucosamine-6-phosphate activated ribozyme that is found in the mRNA for GlmS. GlmS is an enzyme that uses fructose-6-phosphate and glutamine to generate glucosamine-6-phosphate. The ribozyme catalyses self cleavage of the glmS mRNA that is thought to regulate GlmS activity. The record is from RNAcentral. RNAcentral also lists the same sequence under 1 other name.
AAAGUACAGCGCCUGGACAAACAAAUUACACGUCGUUUGUUGACGAGGAUAGAGCUUAUCGAAAAAUUCGGCGGAUGGCUCUAUGGCAUAUCUACUGUCAAAAAUAGCACACAAAGCCUAAUGGAAACUUUAGAACAAAGCUGCUAUU